Molecule: unclassified non-coding RNA, 235 nt
Filed under: Chytridiomycota sp.
Lineage: Eukaryota; Fungi; Chytridiomycota
Description: partial contains small subunit ribosomal RNA, internal transcribed spacer 1, and 5.8S ribosomal RNA
Rfam family: Eukaryotic small subunit ribosomal RNA (bases 1-47)
Source: RNAcentral
AAAGUCGUAACAAGGUAACCGUAGGUGAACCUGCGGUUGGAUCAUUAAUGAUUACUGCUCUUUUGGGUCGAGCUUGGGGUAACCUAGGCUCCUCAACUGUAGCUUUUCACACUUUGUGCACUAAGAUUGUAUUUUGGGCAUAGUCUCUAUGCCCAGCCUUUUAAAACCUCUUUAAUUUAUACUGAUUUUAUUUUUAAAAAAAUAACAACUUUUGACAACGGAUCUCUUGGCUCUC